This 104-nucleotide small nuclear RNA is filed under the name Penaeus japonicus. Lineage: Eukaryota; Metazoa; Arthropoda; Malacostraca; Decapoda; Penaeidae. The record is from RNAcentral.
GUACUUGUCAGCAGUACAUAUACUAAAAUUGGAACGAUACAGAGAAGAUUAGCAUGGCCCCUGCGCAAGGAUUUACGCAAAAUCGUGAAGCGUUCCACAUUUUU